RNAcentral lists this unclassified non-coding RNA (334 nucleotides) under soil metagenome. RNAcentral's name for it is "partial contains 5.8S ribosomal RNA, internal transcribed spacer 2, and large subunit ribosomal RNA". The stretch from base 1 to 120 matches the Rfam family "5.8S ribosomal RNA", at positions 35 to 154 of the family's 154-position model. The record is from RNAcentral.
GAUGAAGAACGUAGCGAAAUGCGAUAAGUAAUGUGAAUUGCAGAAUUCAGUGAAUCAUCGAAUCUUUGAACGCACAUUGCGCCCGCCAGUAUUCUGGCGGGCAUGCCUGUUCGAGCGUCAUUUCAACCAUCAAGCCCUGCUUGCGUUGGGGUCCUGCGGCUGCCCGCAGGCCCUGAAAACCAGUGGCGGGCUCGCUAGUCACACCGAGCGCAGUAAUACAUCUCGCUUUGGGCGUGCGGCGGGUUCUUGCCGUUAAACACCCCCUUUUUACCAAGGUUGACCUCGGAUCAGGUAGGAAUACCCGCUGAACUUAAGCAUAUCAAUAAGCGAAGGA